GGCUUCGUAGCUCAGCUGGUAGAGUGCCAGCCGCUUUGAGACAUGGUGAUUUUGUUGCUGGUUCGAAUCCAGCCGAAGCCC
RNAcentral lists this transfer RNA (81 nucleotides) under Paragonimus heterotremus. It matches the Rfam family "tRNA". Rfam says of the family: Transfer RNA (tRNA) molecules are approximately 80 nucleotides in length. The record is from Rfam by way of RNAcentral. Lineage: Eukaryota; Metazoa; Platyhelminthes; Trematoda; Plagiorchiida; Troglotrematidae.